RNAcentral lists this non-coding RNA (29 nucleotides) under Rattus norvegicus (Norway rat). Lineage: Eukaryota; Metazoa; Chordata; Mammalia; Rodentia; Muridae. The record is from RNAcentral.
UCCCUGACCGUGUCUUCCUUGAGGUGGCA